UUCAAAGAGUAUGCUACCUUCAAUUUCAAUUUACAACAAAAAAAAACCUUUAAUUUCAAUUUUCAACAUGUUGAUUGUACCAUACAUAUAAUUUCAUUAACGUACAGUCAGUCAGAUCUUUAGGUUAUUCCAUAUAUUCGAAGAACUAUUAUAGUCAAGCCACAUGUCCCAACUAUAAUAAACGACAAGAACCGUUCCUAUGGCCAUAUAUGUUUUACAGUCCAUUUUCUAUUCCCUUCUCAACGAGAUUCGAUGAAGAAAAUUAGUGGGUUCGUUGCUUUUUUCAGCAUAAGGUUUGGUUUUGGGUCUUGUUGAAUCUCU
RNAcentral lists this long non-coding RNA (321 nucleotides) under Medicago truncatula (barrel medic). Its description in RNAcentral is "long non-coding RNA (MTRU_LNC002354)". Lineage: Eukaryota; Viridiplantae; Streptophyta; Magnoliopsida; Fabales; Fabaceae. The record is from RNAcentral.